ACAGAGAACCAAGAAGGCUGAGUCUGAUGAAGGAAGAUUUUGCUGAUAUACUCCUAGGGAAAAACAUUUGGACAGACAAGCCCUAUUGGGGAGGAUGGGGGACUACAGGGCUGACUGUAUAAUAUUAAAAAA
This 132-nucleotide small nucleolar RNA is filed under the name Mesocricetus auratus (golden hamster). RNAcentral describes it as "Small Cajal body specific RNA 4 (ENSMAUG00000006397.1)". Lineage: Eukaryota; Metazoa; Chordata; Mammalia; Rodentia; Cricetidae. The record is from RNAcentral.